GGUGCCGUGGCCGAGUGGUUAGGCAGAGGUCUGCAAAACCUUGUACGGCGGUUCGAAUCCGUUCGGCACCU
This 71-nucleotide transfer RNA is filed under the name Ignavibacteriota bacterium. RNAcentral's name for it is "Ignavibacteriae bacterium (activated sludge metagenome) tRNA-Cys". It matches the Rfam family "tRNA". From Rfam's summary of the family: Transfer RNA (tRNA) molecules are approximately 80 nucleotides in length. Their secondary structure includes four short double-helical elements and three loops (D, anti-codon, and T loops). The record is from RNAcentral. Lineage: Bacteria; Pseudomonadati; Ignavibacteriota. RNAcentral also lists the same sequence under 2 other names.